This 391-nucleotide unclassified non-coding RNA is filed under the name soil metagenome. RNAcentral describes it as "partial contains 5.8S ribosomal RNA, internal transcribed spacer 2, and large subunit ribosomal RNA". The stretch from base 1 to 122 matches the Rfam family "5.8S ribosomal RNA", at positions 35 to 154 of the family's 154-position model. The record is from RNAcentral.
GAUGAAGAACGUAGCGAAAUGCGAUACUUGGUGUGAAUUGCAGAAUCCCGUGAACCAUCGAGUCUUUGAACGCAAGUUGCGCCCGAAGCCACUAGGCCGAGGGCACGCCUGCCUGGGCGUCACACGCCGUUGCCCCCCCAUCUACUCCUUCGGGAUUGCGGGGGGGCGGAUGAUGGCCUCCCGUGCGCCUAGCCGCGCGGUUGGCAUAAAUACCAAGUCCUCGGCGACGCACGCCACGACAAUCGGUGGUUGCGAAACCUCGGUUGCCCGUCGUGUGCGUUCGUCGCGCAUCGAGGGCUCGAAAAAAUGCUCGGCUCCGGCUGGGCUUUCAACGCGACCCCAGGUCAGGCGGGGUUACCCGCUGAAUUUUAGCAUAUCAAUAAGCGGAGGA